RNAcentral lists this ribosomal RNA (265 nucleotides) under uncultured prokaryote. Its description in RNAcentral is "partial 16S ribosomal RNA". It matches the Rfam family "Bacterial small subunit ribosomal RNA", at positions 524 to 788 of the family's 1533-position model. The record is from RNAcentral.
UACGGAGGAUCCGAGCGUUAUCCGGAUUUAUUGGGUUUAAAGGGUGCGCAGGCGUGAGAUUAAGUCGGCGGUGAAAUUUUGCAGCUCAACUGUAAAAGUGCCUUCGAAACUGGUUUCCUUGAGUGUAGAUGAAGUAGGCGGAAUUUGUGGUGUAGCGGUGAAAUGCAUAGAUAUCACGAGGAACUCCGAUUGCGCAGGCAGCUUACUAAACCAUAACUGACGCUCAGGCACGAAGGCGUGGGGAUCAAACAGGAUUAGAUACCCU